Molecule: ribosomal RNA, 253 nt
Filed under: uncultured bacterium
Lineage: Bacteria
Description: partial 16S ribosomal RNA
Rfam family: Bacterial small subunit ribosomal RNA
Source: RNAcentral
UACAGAGGGGGCAAGCGUUAUUCGGAAUUAUUGGGCGUAAAGGGCGCGUAGGCGGCCUUGAAAGUCGGGGGUGAAAUCCCACGGCCUAACCGUGGAAGUGCCUCCGAUACUGCAAGGCUCGAGGGAGGUAGGGGCAGCUGGAACUUCCGGUGGAGCGGUGAAAUGCGUUGAUAUCGGAAGGAACGCCGGUGGCGAAAGCGAGCUGCUGGACCUCUGCUGACGCUGAGGCGCGAAAGCCAGGGGAGCAAACGGG